This 253-nucleotide ribosomal RNA is filed under the name uncultured bacterium. RNAcentral's name for it is "partial 16S ribosomal RNA". It matches the Rfam family "Bacterial small subunit ribosomal RNA", at positions 524 to 776 of the family's 1533-position model. The record is from RNAcentral.
UACAGAGGUCUCAAGCGUUGUUCGGAUUCAUUGGGCGUAAAGGGUGCGUAGGCGGCGCGGUAAGUCGGGUGUGAAAUCUCGGAGCUUAACUCCGAAACUGCAUUCGAUACUGCCGUGCUUGAGGACUGGAGAGGAGACUGGAAUUUACGGUGUAGCGGUGAAAUGCGUAGAUAUCGGAAGGAACAUCAGUGGCGAAGGCGACUUCCUGGACCAAUACUGACGCUCAUGUGCGAAAGCGUGGGGAGCAAACAGG